UGUAUAUUAAUUAUUUAUUUUCAUUUUACUUAAAAUAUAUGUUUUUGUUAAGUUAACAUAUGUUUUUCUAAUCAAGUCUACGUAAUUGUGUCUAUUAUUCACUUUACAUAAUACUAAUGUGUUACUUGAUGGCAUAACAUUUAAGUCAAUUAGGAUCGAUAUACUUUGUAUAUCCACAAGGUGGCAGUAAUGCAAAAACAGUUGUAAUGAAACCGCGAAGAACAACAAGGUUUCACGGCUUGGGCCUGCUCAUGCGCAAGACUUCAAAUUUAACUUAAAAACGUUGUUUUGGCGCCAAGCUGCUGUUUCUUUGAGAGAUCUGAACCAUUGUAAAAGUUGCAGUUCAAGGGCCUGAGGUGGAAGCAGAAUUUGUGAGGAUUACUACUGCUCCACUUGUUCCAAGGCUUUUUGCACAACUUGACCAAUACACUGACCAGCUCAUAAAAGUCUUCAAGAAAAAAGGAGGCGCUGCAGUGAAGAAAAUUAGACAAAUUUUGGCCCCAGCCACACAGAAGGAAACUAUUGAAAAGGGGAGGGAGUGUGUCCUCAGGGCACUACCUUUUUACCUGAAUGAAGACCCAAGCAUCCUCUUCAAAGAAUAAUUGCUACAGCUACAGCUGUUCAGAGGGAGCUGGAACAAAUUACCCUUGCUAUCUUCACCAUCGAAAAAGCUGAUGUCAGCACUCCUCCAGUCGAUGUGGGUAUAACCAUCUAGGGUGUUCUGCAUGACCUGGAAAACAUGGCCUCUGCAUGUGCACUCUUAAUGGAUGGGAUAUAUGCACUGAAUCGCAGUUAACCUCGAGACUGAAAGCUUUCUUUGAAGUACUUCAGAAGCUCUUCCUUCAUCUGUAUGUCAGCAGACUCUUGACCAAGGUACAGAUACUCAAGAAUAAACUGAAUGAAUAUGCCAACCCUUAAUUUGGAUGAUGAAUGUUCUGUCAGAUGGACAGAAGUUUUUCAGAGGCUGAAUGGGAAUAAAAUGGUAAUUUGUUGAAAAUGACAGAUAAAGGGAAAAUUACAUUUAAGAAAAAUUUUGAAAAGUUUGUAAACUACUACAAUUUGAGAGAUUUUACUCUUGUGGGGGAAGGGGGGGCUAGUAAGAGACAAUCAAAAGUAUUGAGAUUUAAAGGAUUUAAUUGAGAGAUGAUACUGCACCAGAAAUGUUGAAGGGUGGUGUGUAUAUUAGCAUAUUGUUAUGAGGUGGAAAUAUGUUCAUAUUCUGUUUGUGUUACAUUGUGUGCAUUGUAAAGGUAAUUGCAAUACAUGCUAAGAAUAAGGGUAAGUUAGGAAUGCAGGAUGAAUGUAUAUUUUGCGGGCUUUUAAAGACGAACAAUUGUUUCCAUGUUAAAAUGUUUACAACCCAAGGUUUUUGCCCAAACACUGGUAAAAUAAACGUUGAGGGUGGCAAGUGUUAAAUGGUUACUGCUGUGCUGUUGCAAAAAAACUGAACGCUGACAAGCUGUUUUAUUGUUAGAUCAUAAUGCUGGCAUGCUUUAUUUAAGUUUUAUUUGGGAUGGUGAUAUAAUUUUCUUUGAUUGCUAAUAUCAGUGGACUAUUUAUUAUUAUUAUUAUUAUUAUUGUUAUUACAACAUUAAUUUUUUAAAAUUGUGGCUGUUGAGGUGGACACUUCACUUUGCAUUGUUAAAGGAAAGCACUUCAUUGGCGUUGUGUUACUGGACUGACCCUAAGCAAUCAUUGCAAAUAGCAACUUUGCUAUCCAUUUUAGACACUAAAAGAAAAAACACUCCACAGACCUUACUAGCAUCACAUGUGCAUAACUCAAGUGUCCUCUUAUCAACAUGUUAUGUGGUCUUCAAUGUUUUUUUUCUUCUAUUUCUGGCAGAUACAGACAUUUAAUUUAAAGUCUUGAUGUUGCAUCUGUCUACAUACUGUUAGUUACUAACCCUAAUGACCUGUCGUGUUUUAUUUUGGACUGGGUUUACACAAAUGCUCACUGAAUGUGUUGGCAAUAAAAGAAAUUUUAAAAAAUAA
Molecule: long non-coding RNA, 1992 nt
Organism: Oreochromis niloticus (Nile tilapia)
Lineage: Eukaryota; Metazoa; Chordata; Actinopteri; Cichliformes; Cichlidae
Exons: 5
Source: RefSeq, a predicted model, not a curated record